CUUCUUCGUCGUCGUCGUCGUCGUAUCCCCGUCAUCUUAUCUCAUCUCUCCACAAGAACUCGGCUUUCUGCCUUCGAGGCCUCGAUCCUAAACCAGGUCAGAAACGAACCCCUCUUCCAAUACAAGAAGAGAUUUGCUCAAAAGAGAUUUUUCCCCCUUCCUUCCCCAAGAAACUGCUAUGAAUCUUUUAGUGAGAAUUAUUAUUUAGGCUUUUAGUUUUAUCUUUCUUCGUUUUUAUAAAAUCGGGUGUUUUUAUCUUUUGUUAUGUUGCCUUAUCGCCGAUGCUUGCAUAUGAAUUUCUGCAGAUCUAACGAUCAAUAGGGCUUCUAUCUUAUUGUUAAUCCUGCUUCUUUUCUUUUCUUUUUUCCCUUCUGGUCAUUUCAUCUUUUUAUUUUGAGAAGAUCUUUUUUCUUUGUUGUUUUUGGGAAGGUUUCGUGGAUCGAAAUUGCAAUAUUUAUAAAUGAUAGGCUUAAAUUGAUGCUCAGAAAAUGCUUUCGGAUAUAUAUUUGUGGAGAUCUAAGCUUUCUAUAAUUUGUUAAUUAGCUUUGUGUGCUUUUGGUCACAAUGGUUGUGUCAAUAGAUUGCUAGACGGUUAUUCUGCUUCGUUUGGUUCGGUACAAAUUCGAUUAUAGUGCCAAUGAAUCGAAACUUUAUUUAGAAUUCUGAGCUAAAACAUUUUCCUUUUUCUGUGUGGUAGUUUUUCUCUCUACCACCUACAGGUACUGCGUCAGCAUUGCAAGCAAUAGCCAAGGACCUGCCAAAUUAUAUUCAGCAUUUCCUACAUCUCCUGCCCUUGUUUCCUCUGUUAAUGAUCUCUUUGAGUUCAUAUGCUCGGGUCCUCUGAUAAAAAAAUUGGGCUUUACUGCUGAGACUGUAGCUGAGUCCAUCGACAGGUGGUUACAGUGUGGUUUUCACUUGUGUCAACUGUUCCGGUUGAACGACCUUAAUUUGUCAGUUCCUGAGAAGGCCAGAAUAUAUCAUUUCUACAUUCCAGUGUUCC
Molecule: long non-coding RNA, 1000 nt
Filed under: Elaeis guineensis (African oil palm)
Lineage: Eukaryota; Viridiplantae; Streptophyta; Magnoliopsida; Arecales; Arecaceae
Description: long non-coding RNA (EGUI_LNC000105)
Source: RNAcentral